This 72-nucleotide transfer RNA is filed under the name Loxodonta africana (African savanna elephant). It matches the Rfam family "tRNA". From Rfam's summary of the family: Transfer RNA (tRNA) molecules are approximately 80 nucleotides in length. Their secondary structure includes four short double-helical elements and three loops (D, anti-codon, and T loops). Lineage: Eukaryota; Metazoa; Chordata; Mammalia; Proboscidea; Elephantidae. The record is from Rfam by way of RNAcentral.
GCCCUGGUGGUGCAAUGGUUAAGCACUUGGCUACUAACUGAAAGGCUGGUGGUUCAAACCCACUCAGUGGCU